Molecule: RNA transcript, 6466 nt
Organism: Zootoca vivipara (common lizard)
Lineage: Eukaryota; Metazoa; Chordata; Lepidosauria; Squamata; Lacertidae
Gene: MYF6
Gene name: myogenic factor 6
Source: RefSeq, a predicted model, not a curated record
GGCUGUGCUGGACGGGUCUCGGGUUCAGAAAGCUGGGAGCGCGCUUUGCGGAGAAGGGGAUCUCUCCCCAAGGCCUCUUCCUCGACUAGGCGAGGAUGGUCUCUGGCUGUCCCUCUGUCCGGCCAGCAGCAGCACCCAGAAGGAGCGUCGUGUUGGCCGGGCUCGCCGAGGGUGAUGCGCAGCGACAGCUAAACCGGGGAUAGGGUUUCAGCGGCGACUCUAUAUAUAAAGCAGCCGGGGGCCCUGAUGUCAGCGCGCUAAUUAAAUUCCGCCGGGCCGGGCGGCUUCUCUGCGGGGGCUUCUCGGUCGGGAGCCCCUCCGAGAGAGGCGCGCAGAGGCGGCGGGAGAGCCAUGAUGAUGGACCUUUUCGAGCCCGGCUCCUAUUUCUUCUACUUGGACGCCGGCGACCAUGGAGGCCUGCAAGCCCUGGACAUGGCCGACGAGGGAUCGCCGCUGUACCCGGGCAGCGAGGGCCCCUUGUCGCCCAGCUCGUGCCCCGACCAGCUGGCCCCGGAGGCCGGAGGGGGCGGCGGAGGCGACAGCAGCAGCGGCAGCAGCAGCAUCGGGGGUGAUGAGGAGCAGCACGUGCUGGCGCCGCCGGGCCUGCAGGCGCCCCACUGCCCGGGCCAGUGCCUCAUGUGGGCUUGCAAAACUUGCAAGCGGAAGUCGGCGCCCACCGACCGGCGCAAGGCGGCCACGCUGCGCGAGAGGAGGCGCCUGAAGAAGAUCAACGAGGCCUUCGAGGCGCUCAAGAGGCGCACGGUGGCCAACCCCAACCAGCGCCUGCCCAAGGUGGAGAUCCUGCGCAGCGCCAUCAGCUACAUCGAGAGGCUCCAGGACCUCCUGCACCGCCUCGACCAGCAGGACAAGACCCACCAGCAGCUCCUGCUGCCCACCAAUGGGGGCGCCGUCGGAGACGCCUUCCCCGGCAGCGCCAAGCAGGGCCAUGUGCCCCCGCCCGACUUCUUGAGCCCUUGCAGCGCCAACUGGCCCAGCGGCUCGGAGCAUUCCAGGGCGCUGCCCAUCGGCACCAAGGAAGGGAAUCCCCUUGGCGACUCGUCCGCGUCGAGCAGCCUCCGUUGCCUCUCCUCUAUCGUGGAUAGCAUCUCGUCGGAAGACCGCAAAGUACCCAGCGGGGAGGAAGUCGUGGAGAAGUAGCCGGCCUGGCAGUUUCGGGAGAACUCUAGUGGCUUCAAACCCAGCAGUGUGUCAUCUGAACCCGGACCCCAGUUGGUCAUUUAUCCUUCCAGUGAGAACCAACAAGCUUCCCCACCUCACCCCGCCGCCCGACCCUCAGCUAGGAUCCAUGCUCGAAUUCCUCGAUUGCUUGGUUUAAUGAGCAUCUGUUGAAUUCAUUUCUAGCUGUUGAAACUGCUGCCUUGUUUAGAUGGGGCUGGCUGGCUGUGGAAGGAGCUGAAGUCACCGGAUUGUUUCAGAAUGCCAUGUUGUGAACCGCCCGCCUUGAGAUCCACAGAUGAACUGCGGUAUACAAAUUUAAAACAUACAUACAUACAUAGCUGCCUGGAGAGAAAGGCACCCAGCGCCUCUGGAACAAGGAACCCGGGCAGCACCAGAGAGCCUCUUGCCCCUGGCCUGAUGCUCCUGUUGCCUCCAGCAGGCCGCUAUUGAUCUCGGCCAGGCCAGGCCAAUGGCUUCUGCAGCUGGGCCGGAGCCCUCAAGCCUCUGGGGCAGAACACUUUGGCUGAAGGCGCAUGGCUGCAGAGCCGCCUGCAUUCCUGACAAAGGAGGAAGUGACGGCAACAUUUGCUACCCGCCUUUCACCAUGAGAUCCCAGGACGAGUUACAACAAUGUAAAAAUAAAAUAAAAUCCCGUAUUAAACUCAGUUAAAACGAUUGCCAUGUUAUCAAUCUUAAGACUGCCUAUCAUUCUUCUGUCACUUAUUUACAUGGUGCGAAUCUUUGCUUUAGGCUAUACAUCAAACAACCUUGUGUUUGAUAAAUGCAAAGAUUAGCAAACUCCCCCCCCCCACUGUAGCAAAAAAGUAAGUACGGGUACUGUACUGUAUUGGAAUUUCCACGGGAUGUGGAAUAGAUCCUGUGUAGCAGAAACAUUAGGGACCCAGGUGGCGCUGUGGUUAAACCACUGAGCCUAGGGCUUGCUGAUCAGAAGGUCGGCGGUUCGAAUCCCUGUGACGGGGUGAGCUCCCGUUGCUUGGUCCCAGCUUCUGCCAACCUAGCAGUUCGAAAGCACGUCAAAAUGCAAGUAGAUAAAUAGGAACCGCUACAGCGGGAAGGUAAACGGCGUUUCCAUGUGCUGCUCUGGUUUGCCAGAAGUGGCUUUGUCAUGCUGGCCACAUGACCUGGAAGCUAUACGCCGGCUCCCUCGGCCAAUAAUGCGAGAUGAGCGCGCAACCCCAGAGUCGGUCACGACUGGACCUAAUGGUCAGGGGUCCCUUUACCUUUACCUUUUAGCAGAAACAUACGCAGAAGUAUGGGAGCAGGCCAGACUCCUUGUCCUUCGGUAGUUUUGGCAACUUUUUCUGACUGGCAACGAGAGCUUAGUUCGCCCUUGACUUCCCAUUGAUUUGAAUACUGGCUGGACCUGGAAUACUGGACCUGGAAUUGAAAGCAGGUUCAAUCUCUAGCCAGCCUCUCGUGAGCCCUGCGUAAAAAUCUUCACAGCUCUGUAGAGGCCUCUGAAAAUGUCGGAGAGGGAAAGGGUCAACUUCUUGCCGGCUCUCUGAGCCUCUCUCCCCUCCACGUGCAGCCUUUCACUCACUCAGUCGGUUCCCGGUUCCCACAAGUGCCUCCUUGGGGGGUGGGGAGGCUCCUUUGCUUCCCCACUCCCUGCUUCUCUGGUUCCUCUCUCCGGCUGGACGUUUGCAAAUUUGUUUGGAGAUCGACUUACAAAAAGGGAGCCGGCUCCUCCGAGAGAUACCAAAUGCCCAUUUGCUGGAGUGACGACACACAGAGACCAGCGCUCCUUUUAGCAGGAGAAAGCAGCCGAGGACUUUCCCAAAAGCUCUGGACAAAGGAGACGAGAGCUGAUGUGCUGUAAACGCAAAUAUCCCUUCAAUAAUAAUCACAACGAAGGCUGGAGGAAUCGCUUCUUACUCAAGAGAAAGAAAGAAGCAUUUGGCUGCGUACACACCAUAAAUUUAAAGCACAUAGCUUCCAGGAAAGAAUCCUGCGGAACCUGUAGUUUGUUAAGUGUGUUUUAAGCUUUGUGAGGGGUAAACUACAGUUUCUAUGGUUUGGGGGGCGGUCUGUGUGCUUCAAACGCGCUUUGCUCAUCAGGUGCAGACACUGGCUCGAUUUUGUUUCUCUGUGAGGGUGCAUCUAAACUCCAAAUAAACUCUGAAAAAGACUCGAUUUCUCUCCUCCCGGGGAAAAUACCGAGUUCCCCUUAUAAAAUCUGAAGAAACCUUUUAUUGCCAUAUAUUUCGACAGCAUUCCUGUAAAGGCACUUUCCCCUCUGCACUUUCAGACGUUCAGAAACUCCCUGAUAGAAGCAUGAUUGGCUGUCAAGUGAUGAUUUGGGGCUUCAGGGCUGUUGACUUGAAAAUGUGCACAUUCGCCAUAAGCGAGCUUUUUAAACAGCACAUUGGCGGUGAAUAUGCAAAAGCUACUAAGCGCUUUCUGAGCAACGCCUGGCGAAUGUGCACAAUAUAACUGGCUGGCGUCUCUGCACAUUCUCUAUUCAGCCCACAAUAAUCAGCUCUCUGUGAGCUGAUGGUGUACCCUUCAUCCAGGCUAGUUCUCGCCUUCUUAACGAUUUCUUUUCGACUGCACCAGCCAUGCUUCCCAUCCCUUUGCGCAUCUGCUCAAAUAUUUUAUGCCCCCUGAGGUCACGAAGCAACAAGGCGAGCGACGCGCAGCGCUUCUGGUCCUCCUGAUAGCAAUCAAACUGUAUUAUUAGCCCCGCUGAGAGGCCCUCUCAGCCACCGAGCUGAUUUGCAGAGAAAGCGCCCUGGAAAAGGCGGCUGGCGCUUGCAACAAGUUUAUUUGUGUUCUUCGGAAGAAAAAUCGGUAAACGGGUUAAUUUUCGCCCCUGGGGAAUCCGCGAGCUCAAAACCUCCAUCGGAGCCAGUCCUCGAGUUACAGCUCACCAGAUACCUCUUUCUUUGCUUGGUGGGCGAUUCCUCCCUGAAACCAGAGGAACGGAUCCGCCGGUUGUUUUAUCCAGAAGUUCAUUUUCUACCAGCGUGUCCCCCUUCGCAAACUGCUUAGAGCAGCCUUCGCCAACCUGGUGCUCGCGACAACUCCCCACCAGCCCUAGCCAACGCUAUGGUGGCUGGGAAGUUAUUAGGGGAGAGAUGACUCAAAACAUUGACCUGUAUUUCAAGUGGGGAAUAUAUUCAAAGCGUGUGUGAGAGACAGACACGCCUGUUCCUUAUAAUAGGCAGAAAUCGCCUUCGCUAAAAUGAAAGCUUUAUAUCAUGUACUGUAUUAGCAUAUUUAAAACAUAUAUAUUAUAUAUCAAGGAAAGGUGAAUUUAUAUAGAUAGAUAGAUGAUAGAUAGAUAUUUUGAAGGCACCUCUGUUACCUUUCGCUUUUAUUUAUUGUAAAGUGGUCCAUCAUCAAUUAUUAUUGAUGAUCGAUCCACCCCAGUGAAGAUGGACGAGAUCUCCAAUUCUCAGUAAAAUUUCCAGAUGGGGGGGGCGUGGGUUAAGUGUAGACAUAGCCCUAAUCACUGCUCUCCUUUGAGAAGCGAAGAAGGGACUCAGCAAUUCAUCUGUUAAUUCUUCAUACAAGACAGUUUACUUUGGGUCUGUAUUAAUAGCUGCCAAGUUAUCCCUUUUUUAAGGGAUUUUCCCUUAUGCUGAAUAGGCUUCCUCGCGAGAAAAAGGAAAACUUGGCAGCUAUGGUCUGUAUUUGUGUACGCCCCUUCGAAUACCUUUUGACUUACUUAUUACUACUUCUCUUUCGAUGCGUUUCAACACUGAAAAAUAAAGUGUUUUUUAUUUUUAAAAAGUAACAAAUACGUUACAAAAUGAACCCAAGACCCGUACAAAAUCAGGAUUAGUCCACUGAAGUCAAUGGUUUAACUUCCUUUUCGAAUUCGUUCGCCUACACUACGUAAUUGAUUGGAAACAUUUUCAACAGCUGGAGGGCCGCAUUCCUUUCAAGGCAAUGUUCCGGGGGCCACAUUCCAGUGGCGGGCGGGUCCAGAAGCAAAUGUGGGCGGAGCAACGAAUUUUGCCUUCCUAGACUGACUUCUUCCCCCACCCUUCUCGCAUCCAGGCCAGCAAGAAGCCUUGCCAGAAGGCAAGAACUUUCUCUGCAUCUGGACUCAGGAACACGGAUAGAAACUGCCCUCUCCCUUCCUAUGCGCACGUUUAAUACCGAUCUCUUUACAUAGGAAAAGUAGCGCUGAAAAAGUGCAGGAUGCGAACUGGGGAAAGCAAGCAGUUAGGAAAGAAGCCGAAGGAAACCAGCUGUUUGCCUAGGAAGCCUCCCCUUUCACAUCUGGGCCAUUGAAAAGUUUGUUGGGGCCUUGGCGAAGGCCUUUUCCUACCUAGCCCACCUUGAGGCUCCCCGUCCCUCCCCCUGCCCUGCUGCACUUCUUAAUUGCUGGGACCUCGGGGAGGCUGUUCCCACCGCCUCGUGUCAAGCUACUCAGGGUCUGUGAGACUCGAAACUUUACACUGAGAGAAGGCGGGGCGGGCGGUGGCAGCUGGAACGCAUCUGUAACGGUGCAGAGGCAGGAUUGGAACCGCCUCCCUCCGGCGCAGCCUCUGGCAAAAUGAAACUGCAGCAAGGGGGGGGGGGGGAAAUAAGAGAGCGAGGAGGAAAGGCGGCAGGGCAAGAGAUGCUUGGGCUAAAGCAGUGGCUCCCGGUGACUCUGCAGAAGCAGGGGCUUGGGCGGGAAAAAAACAAGUCAAGAUUUUAACACCCCAUGCGCCCCACUCCACAAAUCCUUAUCUCUCCCUGCUGUAAUAAUAAUAAUAAUAAUAAUAAUAAUAAUAAUAAUAAUAAUAAUAAUAAUAAUACUCUGUCCAUUUGGGCGGCUCCCAAUAGAAUAUUAAAAACAGGAUAAAAGAUCAAACAUUAAAAACUUCCCUAAACAGGGCUGCUUUCAGAUGUCUUCUAAAAGUCACAUAGUUGUUUAUUUCCUUAACAUUUGAUGGGAGGGCGUUCCUCAGGACUGUUAAAGUCAAGGGGCUUGAAAUGUUGACUCUUUGCUUGCCCAAUGAUCUUAAGAAUGUGUCAACCUUUGAGGGGGUGGGGUGGAAGGAGACUUAUGUGAAAUUUUUUCUCCUCCUGCCCAUCAGAAAAUUCCCAAUUGCUGGUAGAACAUUAGGUAUCAUUCUCGAAGCCCAACGCAUUGGAAAGCCAGGAGUCCUGAAAGUUUUGAUCAGUCAUUAGAAAGGAGUGUGUGUGUGUGUUCUGGUAUUAUUACUAUUACUGUCCAUAGGUAGCUCAUGAGACUCUUAAUCUCAGGGUUGUGGAUUCGAGCACCACGUUGGGCGAAAGAUUCUUGCAUUGCAGGGGGUUGGACUAG